GUAUUUCAAUUGCGUUUUUAAGGCAAUGACAUAAGUCAUACAUUCUAUAAACAUACAAAGGGUAUAUGAAGACAUGCGAGGCCGGUUAGGACCCCUCACGGCGUGGUUCACAGGUGUGUGUGGAUAAGCAGACUCAGGUGUGCACAUGCCAUUUUACUGACCAGCUACAACCUUACGCCUACAAAUUCGAUAAUGAUCCUUCCGCAGGUUCACCUACGGAAA
RNAcentral lists this unclassified non-coding RNA (222 nucleotides) under uncultured fungus. RNAcentral describes it as "sequence contains ITS1". The record is from RNAcentral. Lineage: Eukaryota; Fungi.